Molecule: non-coding RNA, 45 nt
Organism: Rhizobium sp. Root564
Lineage: Bacteria; Pseudomonadati; Pseudomonadota; Alphaproteobacteria; Hyphomicrobiales; Rhizobiaceae
Source: Rfam
UCCCGGAGUAGAAGCAGUCGGGUGCGCCCGGACAUUGCUCCUCAA